RNAcentral lists this ribosomal RNA (253 nucleotides) under uncultured bacterium. Its description in RNAcentral is "partial 16S ribosomal RNA". It matches the Rfam family "Bacterial small subunit ribosomal RNA", at positions 524 to 776 of the family's 1533-position model. The record is from RNAcentral.
UACGAAGGGUGCUAGCGUUGUUCGGAAUUACUGGGCGUAAAGCGCGCGUAGGCGGUUAUUCAAGUCAGGGGUGAAAUCCUUGGGCUCAACCCAAGAAUUGCCCUUGAAACUGAAUAACUAGAGUGUCGGAGGGGAUAGCGGAAUUCCUAAUGUAGAGGUGAAAUUCGUAGAUAUUAGGAGGAACACCGGUGGCGAAGGCGGCUAUCUGGACGACAACUGACGCUGAGGCGCGAAAGCGUGGGUAGCAAACAGG